This is a long non-coding RNA of Fukomys damarensis (Damara mole-rat), 1410 nucleotides long. RefSeq lists it as uncharacterized. NCBI's taxonomy places the organism in Eukaryota, Metazoa, Chordata, Mammalia, Rodentia, Bathyergidae. The record is from RefSeq and is a predicted model, not a curated record. The transcript is spliced from 4 exons.
AAGAGAGCAUUUUGUGAGGAAAUUUUUUCAGAGAGAUUCUGCCGUGACUCUCAUCUUCAUCCCCCACCAAGGGUUUGGGGCAGAGAUUACCUGCCUCAUCUUCUCAAAACAAGUUUGAUUGGGCUUUACCUGGACCAAAUUGGGAGGCAUGUCCAAUAUGUAUCUCCGGAGAUGUGGGGUGGAGAGUGGACUGGUGUCUAAUUUGCCUAAGAAGUUUAGAGGGAAGAAAUGUUAGCCUGCGAGCAGCUUAGAUGCUGCCAUCCAAGGAGGUUACUGUACAACGACAGAGGAAACCGGCACUCCCUUCCACCGGAGGACCUGCAGGGGCAUGUGUGCUUCCAGUGGACAGAAUGUGGACCCUGUAGGAGGGUAACCUCUGCUUGUGAGGACCUACCGGGAGGAAAUUGAUUCAAGAGAUGAGAAAUCUUAUUUUGCAAACGGAGUGACGCUGAUUUGAGUACAGCCUGGGUGCAACCAGUGCGUGCGAGGUGACCUCCCAGCAGCAGGGCUGAAAUACAACAUUUUCCCUGCUGAAGACUUUUUCCCGCCCCAUUAUUGUUUAUGCACCCAGAAUUCGUGCAUUGUGAAAAGGAUUCAAAUCCUCUUCUAGUGAUGCACACCACUUAGCGAGAGAACCUAACGAUAAAUCAAAAGGUGGAGGCAAACGGAGAAUCCGAGCCAGGCGAGGCCAGGAGCAAAGACGGACCCACGACUAAGCCUUGUACCUCGAUGCCCCGGAUGGAGGUGGCUCAAGCCUGGCCCCAGCCCUCCCACACCCACAGAGAAAGAGAGAGACACAAAGACUCAAGUAAGAUUGGCGCCAAUCGGAUCCCGGAAGGGCCUGAGCCGUACAUUCUGAAAUAGCUCUUCACAUCAUUCUGGUGUGAUUCCUCAGAAAGACCUGAAUUCCUAAAACUCUUCCUUGGCUUCUCUGCCAGCCUGCCCGCCCCUCCUGCAAUGGCGCUGAAGCCGCAUCCCGAUGCAUAAAAAGGACAGGAAAAGCUUUUGGAGAAUCCAGGAAGACAGCCCUCCUCCAAAUGGUGAGUCAGGAUGGAAUCUAGACGGAUUCAUGGUUUCAGGGUGCUUCACCUACAUCCUUCUUCAGACAGUGCUGUGCUUUCCAGCAAGAGAAGAAGACCAUAGGAGAGGAAAAAGAAGAUGAAGGCCAAUGUACCUGGUGACACUGCAGAUGGGAGCAGAACGCCACCUUAGAAGAGAGAUCACACCUUCAUCAGCAUGCAUGAUUUUUAUCAGGCCCAUGCCCUGGCAUGUUGGAAAGUUCAUAAGCCAAACCCUGAGGUGUAAAGAUAACUUGGACAGUAAAAUAAGUGACAACAAAUAUCAAGUGAUGUCAUUAAUUCAGAGGACGUGAAGGCUUGGAGGUGGGGUGAAAGGUAAAAUUUGUUUUGA